Ictidomys tridecemlineatus (thirteen-lined ground squirrel) is the source of this 69-nucleotide non-coding RNA. NCBI's taxonomy places the organism in Eukaryota, Metazoa, Chordata, Mammalia, Rodentia, Sciuridae. The record is from Rfam.
GGGAUUGUAGCUCCGUGGUAGAGCACUUGCCUCACAAGCAUGAUGUACUGGGUUCAAUCCUCAGCACCA